AAAGUUCGAUCUCGAGAGUCUUGGCUGAGUCCUGAGAGUUUUUACUCUCGGGGACCGGUCCUUGAUAGGAGAGACCGGUCCCCCAGUGAACAGUGCUGCGCAGCCGGCGAGGCAACCGGUCCCUGGCAGUCGAGACCGGUCCCCGAGCGCGUCUGCGCGGGGAGAGACCGGUCCCGCGAAGGGAGAGACCGGUUCCCGAACGUUGGUUUUUCGGGGGCAGGCUGAGAGACCGGUCCCAGGUCGGGGAGACCGGUCCCUCUGGGCGAAAACUGCCCAGACCGGGUUGAUGUGAUUUUG
Molecule: long non-coding RNA, 297 nt
Filed under: Ananas comosus (pineapple)
Lineage: Eukaryota; Viridiplantae; Streptophyta; Magnoliopsida; Poales; Bromeliaceae
Description: long non-coding RNA (ACOM_LNC038821)
Source: RNAcentral